CCUACGUGUGGCUGCAGUAGGGAAUUUUCGUCAAUGGGCGCAAGCCUGAACGAGCAAUGCCGCGUGAACGAGGAAGGUCUUCGGAUCGUAAAGUUCUGUUGAAGGGGAAAAAGAGCGGAGAGAGGAAAUGCUUUCUGAUUGAUAUUACCCUUCGAGGAAGUCACGGCUAACUACGUGCCAGCAGCCGCGGUAAUACGUAGGUGGCGAGCGUUAACCGGAAUGAUUGGGCGUAAAGGGUGCGUAGGCGGCUUGCUAAGUCUGGGGUGAAAGGUACCGGCUCAACCGGUACAGGCUCUGGAAACUGGCGGGCUAGAGGGCAGGAGAGGGCGGUGGAACUUCAAGGGUAGCGGGAAAAUGCGGAGAUAUAUGGAAGAACAACAGUGGCGAAGGCGGCCGCCUGGCCUGUUAACUGACGCUGAGGCACGAAAGCGUGGGGAGCAAAUAGGAUUAGAUACCCGUGUAGUC
This 465-nucleotide ribosomal RNA is filed under the name uncultured bacterium. RNAcentral describes it as "partial 16S ribosomal RNA". It matches the Rfam family "Bacterial small subunit ribosomal RNA", at positions 338 to 795 of the family's 1533-position model. The record is from RNAcentral.